UGCAACUCGCCUGCACGAAGCUGGAAUCGCUAGUAAUCGCGGAUCAGCACGCCGCGGUGAAUACGUUCCCGGGCCUUGUACACACCGCCCGUCACACCAUGGAAGUCUGCAAUGCCCAAAGUCGGUGAGAUAACCUUUAUAGGAGUCAGCCGCCUAAGGCAGGGCAGAUGACUGGGGUGAAGUCGUAACAAGGUAGCCGUAGGAGAACCUGCGGCUGGAUCACCUCCUUUCUAAGGAA
This 238-nucleotide ribosomal RNA is filed under the name Lactobacillus delbrueckii subsp. bulgaricus. RNAcentral describes it as "partial 16S ribosomal RNA". It matches the Rfam family "Bacterial small subunit ribosomal RNA", at positions 1306 to 1533 of the family's 1533-position model. Lineage: Bacteria; Bacillati; Bacillota; Bacilli; Lactobacillales; Lactobacillaceae. The record is from RNAcentral.